This 127-nucleotide unclassified non-coding RNA is filed under the name Methanocaldococcus jannaschii. RNAcentral's name for it is "HgcB". Lineage: Archaea; Methanobacteriati; Methanobacteriota; Methanococci; Methanococcales; Methanocaldococcaceae. The record is from RNAcentral.
AAGAAGUGAUAUAUCACCAAUAAGUGGGUAAAUGACCACCCAAGGAUAACCAGCUUUAACGGCUGGGACCCCUUGGGUGUGAUGUAAGCCCUGAAACACGGCCCCCACCAUUAACCCCUCCCCCACC